ACGGAAGGCAGCAGUGGGGAAUAUUGCACAAUGGGGGAAACCCUGAUGCAGCGACGCCGCGUGAGUGAAGAAGUUAUUCGUAAUGUAAAGCUCUAUCAGCAGGGAAGAAAAUGACGGUACCUGACUAAGAAGCCCCGGCUAACUACGUGCCAGCAGCCGCGGUAAUACGUAGGGGGCAAGCGUUAUCCGGAUUUACUGGGUGUAAAGGGAGCGUAGACGGUCUGGCAAGUCUGAUGUGAAAGGCAGGGGCUCAACUCCUGGACUGCAUUGGAAACUGUCAGUCUUGAGUGUCGGAGAGGUAAGCGGAAUUCCUAGUGUAGCGGUGAAAUGCGCAGAUAUUAGGAGGAACACCAGUGGCGAAGGCGGCUUACUGGACGAUAACUGACGUUGAGGCUCGAAAGCGUGGGGAGCAAACAGGAUUAGAUACCCUGGUA
This 434-nucleotide ribosomal RNA is filed under the name uncultured Lachnospiraceae bacterium. RNAcentral's name for it is "partial 16S ribosomal RNA". It matches the Rfam family "Bacterial small subunit ribosomal RNA", at positions 341 to 792 of the family's 1533-position model. The record is from RNAcentral. Lineage: Bacteria; Bacillati; Bacillota; Clostridia; Lachnospirales; Lachnospiraceae.